Gallus gallus (chicken) is the source of this 1254-nucleotide long non-coding RNA. RefSeq lists it as uncharacterized. The transcript has 5 exons. NCBI's taxonomy places the organism in Eukaryota, Metazoa, Chordata, Aves, Galliformes, Phasianidae. The record is from RefSeq and is a predicted model, not a curated record.
GGUUUAGUGAGAACCAUUGGUGAAGGGUGAAUGGUUGGACUGGAUGAUCCUGUGGGUCUUUUCCAAACUUAGCAAUUCUAUGAUUCUAUGAUUCUAUGAAUCCCUGGGACAGUGAAUAUGAAAUGUUGAUCACCUAGACUUAAAAGCAGUAAUAACCUAUGCAUAAGAAUCUUUUCUACAGAAAAUGAAAUACCGUAUUAAUGAUGGCAACUAUAAAAUUUUGGAAGAAAACUCAUCUAUCUUUCACAACUAUGAAAGCUGCAAAAAACCCACAUAUUACCUCAGAAGUAAUCUCAGUAUUUUAAUUCCCCUGUGGAUGCAGAUGCCUGAGGCUCAGCCCUGAAGCAGACACGUUGUUCAAGCAUCUUGCACAGUCUACAAAGAACUAUGCGUAUUUCUUGAGUCCUAUGGGGAAUGUUUUUGGAGAUCCCUGUCUACCCUUGCUGACAUCACAGGAGCUUAAGCAAUAGUUCCAGGAAGCGUUUUGUGAACCUCUGAUGUCAGUUCUCUGGAUGUAACAUCAGUACUCUGGCAAUAAACUGUUGCCCAGUAUUUGAAGACAAUCCAUGCUCAAGAACUUGACUCAUCCUUUCAGCAGGCUGAAGGAUUUUCUGGAGAUUGCUUAAUGUGACAUUGGCUAGCCCUUUGGAGUUCUACAGUGUCACAGAGUCAGAAUGAUAUUUUAUAGUUGAAACCAGAAGAAACAUCUGCAGGUCACUUGUUCAAGCAAGGACAUUCAGACCAGGGUGAUUUCUAUGCAGAAGACUUACUUUUACCAAAGCAAUUGGAUUUUGAGAAAACUAACGGCACUAACAUGGUGCGUGGAUCUUAGACGGUCUUCGACAGAAAAGACCUUUGUAUUUGGAAAAUUUUCUGCGUUAAACACUAGCAAAUUAUCAAAAUAUCUUAUUAAUGAAUACAUCAAUAAGUGUGAAAUCUGGGUUAUCUGGCUAAAAUCAUUUCUGUUUUCCUCACUUUCAAUUAGGAUAAACAUGAUGAAUUAGAAGUAUGUAUCUAUGAUUUAGCAGUACACUUUCUACAAGAUUCAAUCCAGUAAGUUACAAAUAAGCUUUAAAAUUUGAGACAUCUCUGAAAUACAUUGCGGCUAUAUGCAAAUUAUCAAGUGAAUUUCUUUUUUUCUGGAAUAUAAACUAUUCUAUAAUAAAGUAUUAAUUUAAUUAAAAACUAAUUACUAAAAACUGGUUGCUACUUCCAUCAUAUUUCUAAUGUCAUUAAAGCCCAUCUUUGACCUUA